Molecule: ribosomal RNA, 229 nt
Filed under: uncultured bacterium
Lineage: Bacteria
Description: partial 16S ribosomal RNA
Rfam family: Bacterial small subunit ribosomal RNA
Source: RNAcentral
UGCGUAGGCGGGCUAAUAAGUCAGGGGUGAAAUCCCACAGCUCAACUGUGGAACUGCCUUUGAUACUGUUAGUCUUGAGUUAUAUGGAAGUAGAUAGAAUGUGUAGUGUAGCGGUGAAAUGCAUAGAGAUUACACAGAAUACCGAUUGCGAAGGCAGUCUACUACGUAUAUACUGACGCUAAUGGACGAAAGCGUGGGGAGCGAACAGGAUUAGAUACCCUGGUAGUCC